RNAcentral lists this ribosomal RNA (253 nucleotides) under uncultured bacterium. RNAcentral describes it as "partial 16S ribosomal RNA". It matches the Rfam family "Bacterial small subunit ribosomal RNA", at positions 524 to 776 of the family's 1533-position model. The record is from RNAcentral.
UACGUAGGGUGCGAGCGUUAAUCGGAAUUACUGGGCGUAAAGUGUGCGCAGGCGGCAGAGCAAGUCGAGUGUGAAAGCCCCGGGCUUAACUUGGGAAUUGCGCUCGAAACUACUUUGCUGGAGUGUGGCAGAGGAAGGUGGAAUUCCACGUGUAGCGGUGAAAUGCGUAGAGAUGUGGAGGAACACCAAUGGCGAAGGCAGCCUUCUGGGCCAACACUGACACUGAGAGACGAAAGCUAGGGGAGCAAAUGGG